AAGAAAUUAGUUUAACAAAAACAUUAAAAUGUCAAAUUAAAAUUACCCUCAAGUAUUUCUUU
RNAcentral lists this transfer RNA (62 nucleotides) under Changeondelphax velitchkovskyi. Its description in RNAcentral is "tRNA-Asp". The record is from RNAcentral. Lineage: Eukaryota; Metazoa; Arthropoda; Insecta; Hemiptera; Delphacidae.